RNAcentral lists this transfer RNA (76 nucleotides) under Rhodospirillales bacterium. Its description in RNAcentral is "tRNA-Ala". It matches the Rfam family "tRNA". Rfam says of the family: Transfer RNA (tRNA) molecules are approximately 80 nucleotides in length. RNAcentral also lists the same sequence under 1 other name. The record is from RNAcentral. Lineage: Bacteria; Pseudomonadati; Pseudomonadota; Alphaproteobacteria; Rhodospirillales.
GGGGCCGUAGCUCAGCUGGGAGAGCGUCGCGUUCGCAAUGCGAAGGUCAGGGGUUCGACUCCCCUCGGCUCCACCA